This 274-nucleotide ribosomal RNA is filed under the name uncultured Tylospora. RNAcentral describes it as "partial 28S ribosomal RNA". It matches the Rfam family "Eukaryotic large subunit ribosomal RNA", at positions 1 to 264 of the family's 3401-position model. The record is from RNAcentral. Lineage: Eukaryota; Fungi; Basidiomycota; Agaricomycetes; Atheliales; Atheliaceae.
UUGACCUCAAAUCAGGUAGGACUACCCGCUGAACUUAAGCAUAUCAAUAAGCGGAGGAAAAGAAACUAACAAGGAUUCCCCUAGUAACUGCGAGUGAAGCGGGAAGAGCUCAAAUUUAAAAUCUGGUGGUCCUCGCGGCCGUCCGAGUUGUAAUCUGGAGAAGCGUUUUCCGCGUCGGACCGUGUACAAGUCUUCUGGAAUGGAGCGUCGUAGAGGGUGAGAAUCCCGUCUCUGACACGGACCGCCGAUGCUUUUGUGAUACGCUCUCGAAGAG